CAGUGGCUUAAGGGGUGCAGGGGUCUGGAGAAAUGAGACUGGGCUGUGGGUGAGGGUGUAGGUCUGUACCCCUUACCCCGUCUUUCUUCAGGAGGCCCACAGCCCCUAAAGACCAUCUGAGACUCUGGCUUGCCAUUUGUCACAUCUCCCUUGCCGCACCCACAGCCUUCAGGGACAAGUCUGUGAGACUCCUCUUUCAUCUCUACCCACGGGUUUUGGCCAUCAGAAGCAGGUCCACAUAUGCGGCCACUGUUUCUGCCGUUCUGCUAGAGGAGUGGGAUCAGCUGCAGCCUGCGUCCCUGGGGAAAGCAAGAGUUCCUGACGGAGACUCUGCAGUUUGUAUGCCCGAACCCAUAUUCACUUUGACCCUGACCCAUCCUCAGCUUGGCCUUGGGGCUCUCCCUCAUCUCUGACCCUUCCAACUACACCCCAGUUGGGCCUCCUCUGCUGGGGUUCCUCUGGGACUUUUGACCUGGUUGCGGGGGGCGGGUGGAGAACCUCCCUUUCCCCUAGAUGAAGCCCAGAAACAGCCUGAGCUGGUUUUGGUUCCUCUUCUUCACACCUACAUGAUGAAAUGAGAUGGUCCACGUGGACGGGCUGUGUCGCCUGUGAUGCUCUGGUCACACUGAAGUCAUGAUGUGUGGUAAUUGUCUAUGGAGAGGGGUCAUAGAAAGCCAGGCUCUGGGGCUUGGACCAGCUUCACCGUGCGCUAUAGCAGCUUCCCCUCCCGGCUGGUGUGCAGGGUGGGGCUGGAGGUAUAGUUUAUGACCAGCCUCUGUGGAUGCCCCAGCCCAGGCCCUGGUUCUGUUGGAAGGAGGCUCUCAGAUCGAGGGUCGCAUAGACAGGGUCUGCUCUAGGUCUGCCAGGAUCGGCCUUUCCAGCAGGAUGGGUCCCUGGCAUACCCACCCCAGGACCUGGAAUCUUCUUGUUCCUGGUUCUUAGCCAUCUAAUUUUUGUUCUAUUUGGACCUUUCAUUGAUGAGAAUUAGCAGCCCGUCCCCACCCCCCAGCCCCUGCCUUAAAGAAGUGGACAUUUUAAGCGGCUCGAGUUGGUCUUCGAGUUCAAGAGGACAAAUGGAAUACAGAAUGACGAACCUGGCUUAUGGCCAGGAGCCCCCAGUUCCUUUUUUUUUUUUUUUUCUGGCAAGUUUGUGUAACCAAAAGGCCCCAGUUCUUAGCUCAACAUGAGAGUGUAAAACCCAGCGUUCAAGGAAUGUGAACCAAUACCUGGUAUGGGCAAGGACAAGGAGGAGAAUAGGAAGCAGAAGGAAUAGAAGGACCCAGACUAACUCCAGAGGAAAAUGGUGAGCUAAGACCUUUACUGCAUCACAAAUCAAUAAAUACUUAUUGAGAAGCUGCUACAUGCAAGAUUCUCCUGCCUGUACCACUACGCCCGAGGUUUUUGUACUGUGACACUGAGGGACAGUCUGCCAAGCUGCUCACGGCCCUUCAGUGAGUGGGUGGGGGCGGAGGAGAGGGUCUGUGUUCUGAGGGGACAUUGGCCCUGGAGACAGGGUGUGUAGGAGAUUCGUGAAGGGGGAACGAGGCACUGGUGGCUGGCUGAAGAGCUCCAGAGCCCAGAUGGUCCUAGGACUCCUGGGCUCCUGGCUAGACCCUGAGUGAGGGAUCCAGAUAUUGGAAUGCCUG
This is a long non-coding RNA of Homo sapiens (human), 1646 nucleotides long. Lineage: Eukaryota; Metazoa; Chordata; Mammalia; Primates; Hominidae. The record is from Ensembl.